Astyanax mexicanus (Mexican tetra) is the source of this 54-nucleotide regulatory RNA element. It matches the Rfam family "UnaL2 LINE 3' element". Rfam says of the family: The eel long interspersed element (LINE) UnaL2 and its partner short interspersed element (SINE) share a conserved 3' tail containing a stem-loop that is critical for their retrotransposition. Presumably, the first step of retrotransposition is the recognition of their 3' tails by UnaL2-encoded reverse transcriptase. NCBI's taxonomy places the organism in Eukaryota, Metazoa, Chordata, Actinopteri, Characiformes, Acestrorhamphidae. The record is from Rfam.
ACAAAGCACUUUUGUAAGUUGCUUUGGAUAAGAGCAUCUGCUAAAAAUCUUAAA